GUGGGGAAUUUUGCGCAAUGGGGGCAACCCUGACGCAGCGACGCCGCGUGGAGGACGAAGUCUUUCGGGAUGUAAACUCCUGUCAGUGGGGACGAUAAUGACGGUACCCACAGAGGAAGCACCGGCUAACUCCGUGCCAGCAGCCGCGGUAAGACGGAGGGUGCAAGCGUUGUUCGGAAUUACUGGGCGUAAAGCGUAUGUAGGCGGCAAGUUAAGUUCAAUGUUAAAGCCCACGGCUCAACCGAGGAGAUGCAUUGAAUACUGGCUAGCUAGAGGGUGCUAGAGGAAGACGGAAUUCCCAGUGUAGCGGUGAAAUGCGUAGAUAUUGGGAGGAACAUCGGUAGCGAAAGCGGUCUUCUGGGACAUACCUGACGCUGAGGUACGAAAGCGUGGGGAGCAAACGGGAUUAGAUACCCCUGUAGUCC
This 425-nucleotide ribosomal RNA is filed under the name uncultured bacterium. RNAcentral's name for it is "bacterial SSU rRNA". It matches the Rfam family "Bacterial small subunit ribosomal RNA", at positions 354 to 796 of the family's 1533-position model. The record is from RNAcentral.